Long non-coding RNA from Pipra filicauda (Wire-tailed manakin), 510 nucleotides. RefSeq lists it as uncharacterized. Lineage: Eukaryota; Metazoa; Chordata; Aves; Passeriformes; Pipridae. The record is from RefSeq and is a predicted model, not a curated record. The transcript is spliced from 2 exons.
AUUUGUCAACAUACCACAGAGCUGUAUAUAGGUAGGGUUAUAUCCCUGCUGGCAAUCUCCCAUAUGGGAGAUUCCUAAGCUCCCAGGAAGGCUAAAAGUUUCCUUUAAGAACAGGUGGCAGCAGAGGAGAUCAGGGCUGGAUGGAAUCUGCAGGAUCACUGAAUCCAGUGCCCAUUGACUGCAACAUAGACUUCAAUCAAAGGGCCAUUUUUCAUGCCAGGAAAAGACCAAUUGUGAUACUUUUAAUGUAGCAGAGGAAAAAUUAGGAGAAAUUCAGAACAUUUCCAAUUCUUGCAGUCACAGGAUAUCCCAUGGAUGCUUCAAGGUACAUCGUGGUCUGUGUUGUGAAUGAGGGACAUACUCUGAUCCUCCCUGCCAAACCAUCCAGCAGGAUGACACCUUUCUGACCACAGAUCACAAGCUGCCAUAAUGAUCAGUAUGUGAACUGGACAGACUAUGUCUGCUUUAAUAAGUUACAAACUCAAUAAACACAGAUUUUGUAGAACAAAA